CCUACGUGAGGCAGCAGUGGGGGAUAUUGGACAAUGGGGGAAACCCUGAUCCAGCGAUGCCGCGUGAGGGAAGAAGGCUUUCGGAUUGUAAACCUCUGUGGAGGGGGACGAUAAUGACGGUACCCCUUUAGGAACCAACGGCUAACUACGUGCCAGCAGCCGCGGUAAUGCGUCGGUCGCGAGCGUUGUCCGGAAUUAUUGGGUGUAAAGGGAGUGUAGGCGGGAAAGCAAGUCAAGAGUGAAAACUAUGGGCUUAACCCAUAGCCUGCUUUUGAAACUGGUUUUCUUGAGUGAAGUAGAGGCAAGCGGAAUGCCUAGGGUAGCGGUGAAAUGCGUAGAUAUUAGGCGGAACACCAGUGGCGAAGGCGGCUUGCUGGGCUUUUACUGACGCUGAGGCUCGAAAGCGUGGGGAGCGAACAGGAUUAGAUACCCCUGUAGUC
Molecule: ribosomal RNA, 440 nt
Filed under: uncultured bacterium
Lineage: Bacteria
Description: partial 16S ribosomal RNA
Rfam family: Bacterial small subunit ribosomal RNA
Source: RNAcentral